GUUGCUGGAGCGAACUUCUUUAAUGUCGGUUUUAAGGUGGAAUUUCAAACCAAAUAUGGACAGGGCAAUGAGUUCCAUGGAGAAUGGCCAUAUUAUUCUGGCAAAUGGUUCUGAACUGGCUUUAGUGUCCCUAUUAGCCAGUGAAAAUGAUUUCAGAAUUCCAGAAUCUUUGCCGUCUCUUCAUGAUGAAGUGCUCGCAGCUGCAGCAGAUGCUGCCAUGAAAUUCUCCACUCAGAAGAAGAAACAGGGUGGGGGGCCAAAUAUUUUAGGUACUCUAGUUAAAGGAUUUAAAGCAGGAAAAACAAAUCAAAAUAUGGAUUUCAGUCAGAUGACGCAGUCAAACUUUAGUCAUCUGGAAGGUGUUUUUAUGAAGAACCCACUCCACUCAGAACUGUCCCCAACUAAGGAAGUUCUAGAAGAACUGGAGCUCGAUAUAGAUGAUAUUGAAAUCGAUGACCCUGUCCCUGUGGCUUCUA
RNAcentral lists this unclassified non-coding RNA (476 nucleotides) under Hevea brasiliensis (rubber tree). The record is from RNAcentral. Lineage: Eukaryota; Viridiplantae; Streptophyta; Magnoliopsida; Malpighiales; Euphorbiaceae.